AGUUGCUACAUUCAGUUGGGCGACUCUAAUGAGACUGCCGGUGACAAACCGGAGGAAGGUGGGGAUGACGUCAAGUCCUCAUGGCCCUUAUAGGUGGGGCUACACACGUCAUACAAUGGAUGGUACAAAGGGUCGCCAACCCGCGAGGGGGAGCCAAUCCCAUAAAGCCAUUCGUAGUCCGGAUCGCAGUCUGCAACUCGACUGCGUGAAGUCGGAAUCGCUAGUAAUCGUGGAUCAGAAUGUCACGGUGAAUACGUUCCCGGGUCUU
Molecule: ribosomal RNA, 268 nt
Filed under: uncultured Acidovorax sp.
Lineage: Bacteria; Pseudomonadati; Pseudomonadota; Betaproteobacteria; Burkholderiales; Comamonadaceae
Description: partial 16S ribosomal RNA
Rfam family: Bacterial small subunit ribosomal RNA
Source: RNAcentral